GAUGAACGCUGGCGGCGUGCCUAAUACAUGCAAGUCGAGCGAACAGAUGAGGAGCUUGCUCCUCUGACGUUAGCGGCGGACGGGUGAGUAACACGUGGAUAACCUACCUAUAAGACUGGGAUAACUUCGGGAAACCGGAGCUAAUACCGGAUAAUAUAUUGAACCGCAUGGUUCAAUAGUGAAAGACGGUUUUGCUGUCACUUAUAGAUUGAUCCGCGCCGCAUUAGCUAGUGGGUAAGGUAACGGCUUACCAAGGCAACGACGCGUAGCCGACCUGAGCGGGUGAUCGGCCACACUGGAACUGAGACACGGUCCAGACUCCUACGGGAGGCAGCAGUAGGGAAUCUUCCGCGAUGGGCGAAAGCCUGACGGAGCAACGCCGCGUGAGUGAUGAAGGUCUUCGGAUCGUAAAGCUCUGUUAUUAGGGAAGAACAAAUGUGUAAGUAACUAUGCACGUCUUGACGGUACCUAAUCAGAAAGCCACGGCUAACUACGUG
RNAcentral lists this ribosomal RNA (497 nucleotides) under uncultured bacterium. Its description in RNAcentral is "partial 16S ribosomal RNA". It matches the Rfam family "Bacterial small subunit ribosomal RNA", at positions 28 to 507 of the family's 1533-position model. The record is from RNAcentral.